CCUACGGGUGGCAGCAGUGAGGAAUAUUGGUCAAUGGGCGCGAGCCUGAACCAGCCAAGUAGCGUGAAGGAUGACUGCCCUACGGGUUGUAAACUUCUUUUAUAAAGGAAUAAAGUGAGGCACGUGGGCCUUUUUGUAUGGACGUUAUGAAUAAGGAUCGGCUAACUCCGUGCCAGCAGCCGCGGUAAUACGGAGGAUCCGAGCGUUAUCCGGAUUUAUUGGGUUUAAAGGGAGCGUAGAGGGGUUGUUUAGUCAGUUGUGAAAGUUUGCGGCUAAACCGUAAAAUUGCAAUUGAUACGGGCAGCCUUGAGUACAGUUGAGGUAGGCGGACUUCGUGGUGUAGCGGUGAACUGCUUAGCUAUCACG
This 366-nucleotide ribosomal RNA is filed under the name uncultured bacterium. Its description in RNAcentral is "partial 16S ribosomal RNA". It matches the Rfam family "Bacterial small subunit ribosomal RNA", at positions 338 to 701 of the family's 1533-position model. The record is from RNAcentral.